AUAUGAUGAUCGCACUGGGCUCUGAGCAGUUAUAUAAAACUGUUGAUGGACAAUGCCGCCUAGAAAGCUUUGGCUGAUC
This 79-nucleotide small nucleolar RNA is filed under the name Olea europaea subsp. europaea. Lineage: Eukaryota; Viridiplantae; Streptophyta; Magnoliopsida; Lamiales; Oleaceae. The record is from RNAcentral.